Musa acuminata AAA Group (dessert banana) is the source of this 5949-nucleotide long non-coding RNA. RefSeq lists it as uncharacterized. The transcript has 3 exons. The record is from RefSeq and is a predicted model, not a curated record. NCBI's taxonomy places the organism in Eukaryota, Viridiplantae, Streptophyta, Magnoliopsida, Zingiberales, Musaceae.
CGCUUUUAAAAAUUAUUAAUAAAGAUUUAUAUGUAAAUUGGAGGACCUAUAUGUAAAUAUAGAAAUUACAAGGACUAAACUGUUAAGUUGCAAAAAAAAGAAAAAAAAAGGGGAAAACCGAAAAUUCGGUAUUAUCCCACCGCCUCCCACGCACUCUGUUUCUUCCAGAAACAGAGAGAGCGGUGGGGCGUGAGGAGAAGAAGGAGAGUGGUAGAAGAAGAGAGGAAGAAGAGGGAGAAGAGAAGAAGAAGAAGAAGAAGAAGAAGAAGAGGGAAAAGAAGAGAGGAGGAAGAAGAGGGAGUAGAGAAGAAGAAGAAGGAGAAGAAGAAGAAGAGGAGGUGGCUGCAGCGAGGGCUGCAGCGAGAAGCUGUGGGGCGUGGGGAGAAGAAGAGAGGAAGAAGAGGGAGAAGAGAAGAAGAAGAAGAAGAAGAAGAAGAGAAGAGGAUAGCUGCGGCAAGGCUGCAGCGAGGAGGUGUGUGGGGUUGGGGAGGAAAAAGGGAAGAGGAGAAGAAGAGGGAAAAGAGAGGGAAGAGGGAGAGGAGCGAGAGGUGGCAGCAGCUAGGGCUGCAGCACCUCUGUUUCCUGCAGGUGGAAACAGAGGAGAGGUGUGGGGCGUUCGAAGAGGAGAAGAAGAAGAAGAGGAAGAGAAGAGGAAGAGGAAGCAGGGGAAGAGGUUGUGAUACCUCUGUUUCCUGCAGAGGAAACAGAGGAGAGGGUGUGGGUGACGUCGGGGAGAAGAAGGGGAGGAAGGAGAAGAAGAGAAGAAGAAGAAAGGAAGGAAAAGGAAGAGGAGAAGGGAAGAAAGUAGCUGCGGCUGCGGUUGUGGCAGCUGCAGCUGUGGCAGGGAAAGAAGAAGAGAAAGGAAGAAGGGGAGGAGAGGAAGAAGAGUAGGGGCUGCGGCUGCGGCGAUGGCAGCUGCAGUUGGAAGAGAAGAAGGAGAGGAAGAUGAGCAGGGGAGGAAGAAAAGGCUGUGGCCGUGGCUGAGGCUGCGACUGCAGCAUGCAGCUGGGAAAGAAGAGAAGGAAAGGAAGAAGAAGAGAAAGGAAGAAGGGAAGGAGAGGAAGAAGAGAAGGGGCUGCGGCUGCGGCGAUGGCAGCUGCAGUUGGAAGAGAAGAAGGAGAGGAAGAUGAGCAGGGGAGGAAGAAAAGGCUGUGGCCGUGGCUGAGGCUGCGACUGCAGCAUGUAGCUGGGAAAGAAGAGAAGGAAAGGAAGAAGAAGAGAAAGGAAGAAGGGAAGGAGAGGAAGAAGAGAAGGGGCUACGGCUGCGGCGAUGGCAGCUGCAGUUGGAAGAGAAGAAGGAGAGGAAGAUGAGCAGGGGAGGAAGAAGAGGCUGCGAGUGUGGUGGCUGCGGCCGUGGCUGCGACUCCGGCUGCGGCUGCAACGUUGGCUGCGGUAGCUGCGGCAGCGGUGGUGGCUGCAGUAGCUGCUUUUGGGAAAGAGAAAGAGUAGGAACGAGAGAAGGGAAGAAGGAAGUAGUGCAGUGGAAGGGGGCUGCGGUUGUGACCGCAGUUGCGGUCGUGGCUGCGAUUGUGGCAGCGGCAGCGGCGGCGGCUGUGGCAGCUGCGUUUGGGAAAGAAAAAAAGAAGGAAUGAGAGUAAGAGAGAGCAGGUGACUGUGCCUCGAUGUUCGACACGUGAUGUAGUUGCGAAGAAAGGAAGAAAACGGGAGCACAAAACGAAACAGAGAGAGGACACGGAGAAAAAGUAGAAGGAUUUGGGCUGGCACCUUCUUUGGAUCUUCGGAUCGAAAUCUUUGAAAGGUCAGCUUGUCACUCUUCGAGAUGUUUGAUUUGGGCUGAGGCAGUGGAUAGCUAUUCAGAAUAAUGGGCAAGUCUGGUUGGUUAUUACAAUAUUGUUGUAUAAGUAUGUCUUGUAUAUAAUGAAAUGUUGUCGAUGAACCGAAAUAGAUAUACUGUGUCCAAGUGUUAGGAGAUCUCUCUUAUUUGGAAUUUCAGAAUGUUAAGUCUAAUUUAUGGUGAUAUGAACUUGUGGUGAAUAGUUGGAGUUCUGAUUAUAUAAUUUAUUUAGCUUGUGGAUUUAUAAAUGUUGUUCAUGUUUGUCAAGUUGGCUUGGGUUGCCAUAAAUGUGAAUUAUCGAGUGAUGUGAUAUAUGAUUAUAAACUGCACAGGUUUUAUGGAUGUGAAUAUGAAUAGAAUGUUUUCAGUGUCCUCAAACGUUAGUUUGGAUCCUGGAUUAGUCUGUGACGAAAAUUUAUUUAAAAAUCAUGGAUAUUUUGAGGGGCGUGACAGAGGUGGUAUCAGAGCAUUGUUUGAGGAUUACUGAAAUAUUUGAUAUGUUGACGUGCAAAAUAUAUUGAGGUCUAAUGAAACUAUAGUGAUUGGUGAAAAUUUUCUUUGAUGUAUUUUAGGAAUCUGGGAUGAUGAGGACAUUUGGUCCCCCUAUUUCAUUGUUUCUGAUUAAUUAAGGGGAAUGAAAGGAUUGAUUGGGGAUAUUGAAUCAGAGUGGCGCAGCGGAAGCAUGGUGGACCUAAUUUCAUUGGUGGUAGAAAAAUGAAUGAUGCAAAUAGAGAAGAUAUUUGAUGUACAAAAUUGUUUUGAUGAUCAAAAGAUUUCUUUUGCCACCUUAUAUUGGAAGUAGAGGCUGAUUAUUAUUGGCAACAAUGAAAAGAAUUUUUGGAGAUCAGUGACAAGAAUGAUAAGGACAAGUUUACCAAUAAGAAUAUGAUUGGAAAUGAAUCAGAAAGUAAUGACAAGAGGAUCAAGACAUUUGGAUUUGAAAAGGAAAGUCACCACCAAAGACUUAAUCAUGUGUGAAUUACAAGUUAAAUUAUGAAACAAGUUUGUGUUUUCGGGUGAUUGGAGUCUAUUUUGCUUGUAGAAAGUUGGAUCAUAAAAUAAAAGUUUGCCCUUUGAACAAGAAGAAAGAGUCACUGCCUCCUAAAUCAUCAGCCCAUGUAAGAGUGUAUGCUAUCACUGAAUAUGAUUCUGAAACUUCUGAAUUAGUGGUCAAAGGUAUUAUGCAUGUUUAUGAAAGAAUGUAAAUAUUUGUUCGACCAUGGGUCCAAUCUACGAUUUGAUUCGUAAUAUUUUGCUUAUCACUUGAGUAUUCAACCUAGACCACUACAUUAUGUGCUAUAAGUAAAUACGAUCAUUGGAGAUUCUUUGAUAACGAAGUUGAAUCUGGUCCUCUUGUCUGAUUCUUAUUGGAGAACUUGAACUUUUGCUGAUUUAGUUCUCCUAGAGAUUUGGAGUUUUGAUAUUAUACUUGGUAUGGAUUGGCUAUCUUCCUAACAUACCAGUAUGGAUUGGUAUAUAACAAAUGAUCACUUUUUGCAUAUUUGAUCAGCCGAUCUUUUAUUUUGAGAGUAUUGGACAUUAUUUAUCUCCUUGCCUAAUGUAUCCCAGGAUGACUUGUUUGGAUUACCUCCAAAUGUGAUUUUGCUUUUGAUUUGGUCCUUGGGACAAUCCUAAAAUCUAAGCCUCUCUACAGAAAGAUAUCAUUUGAGUAAGUGGAAUUAGAAAAGCAACUACAAGGAUUAUUAAAUGAGGAUUUUAUUUGGCUUAAUAUUUCAUCAUGGGGUGCUCCGGUGUUAGUUAAAAGAUGGAUGGAACAUUGAGGCUUUGUAUUGAUUAUAGAUAGUUGAAUUAGGUGACCAUAAAAAAAAACGAGUAUUUUCUAAAGUGACCACUUGUUUGAUUAACUGCAGGGUGCAUAGGUAUUUUAAAAGAUUGUUUGAAGGUCGGGUUACCAUCUAUUGAGGAUCAAGGAGGAGAAUAUUUCGGUCACUCUUGGAUAAUUAUGUAAUUGUAUUGUAUUGAUGAAACUAUUUAAGAGUAGGAGGAGGAAAUAAAGAUAUCAUAAUCCUCAUCUUUUCAUCGAUUGAGCUAUGAUCAAUUUAGAGGACUAAAUUUUCUUUUAAGGGGGGGGAGAGUGUAAUAUCCCUCGCUUUUAAAAAUUAUUAAUAAAGAUUUAUAUGUAAAUUGGAGGACCUAUAUGUAAAUAUAGAAAUUACAAGGACUAAACUGUUAAGUUGCAAAAAAAAGAAAAAAAAAGGGGAAAACCGAAAAUUCGGUAUUAUCCCACCGCCUCCCACGCACUCUGUUUCUUCCAGAAACAGAGAGAGCGGUGGGGCGUGAGGAGAAGAAGGAGAGUGGUAGAAGAAGAGAGGAAGAAGAGGGAGAAGAGAAGAAGAAGAAGAAGAAGAAGAAGAAGAGGGAAAAGAAGAGAGGAGGAAGAAGAGGGAGUAGAGAAGAAGAAGAAGGAGAAGAAGAAGAAGAGGAGGUGGCUGCAGCGAGGGCUGCAGCGAGAAGCUGUGGGGCGUGGGGAGAAGAAGAGAGGAAGAAGAGGGAGAAGAGAAGAAGAAGAAGAAGAAGAAGAAGAAGAGAAGAGGAUAGCUGCGGCAAGGCUGCAGCGAGGAGGUGUGUGGGGUUGGGGAGGAAAAAGGGAAGAGGAGAAGAAGAGGGAAAAGAGAGGGAAGAGGGAGAGGAGCGAGAGGUGGCAGCAGCUAGGGCUGCAGCACCUCUGUUUCCUGCAGGUGGAAACAGAGGAGAGGUGUGGGGCGUUCGAAGAGGAGAAGAAGAAGAAGAGGAAGAGAAGAGGAAGAGGAAGCAGGGGAAGAGGUUGUGAUACCUCUGUUUCCUGCAGAGGAAACAGAGGAGAGGGUGUGGGUGACGUCGGGGAGAAGAAGGGGAGGAAGGAGAAGAAGAGAAGAAGAAGAAAGGAAGGAAAAGGAAGAGGAGAAGGGAAGAAAGUAGCUGCGGCUGCGGUUGUGGCAGCUGCAGCUGUGGCAGGGAAAGAAGAAGAGAAAGGAAGAAGGGGAGGAGAGGAAGAAGAGUAGGGGCUGCGGCUGCGGCGAUGGCAGCUGCAGUUGGAAGAGAAGAAGGAGAGGAAGAUGAGCAGGGGAGGAAGAAAAGGCUGUGGCCGUGGCUGAGGCUGCGACUGCAGCAUGCAGCUGGGAAAGAAGAGAAGGAAAGGAAGAAGAAGAGAAAGGAAGAAGGGAAGGAGAGGAAGAAGAGAAGGGGCUGCGGCUGCGGCGAUGGCAGCUGCAGUUGGAAGAGAAGAAGGAGAGGAAGAUGAGCAGGGGAGGAAGAAAAGGCUGUGGCCGUGGCUGAGGCUGCGACUGCAGCAUGUAGCUGGGAAAGAAGAGAAGGAAAGGAAGAAGAAGAGAAAGGAAGAAGGGAAGGAGAGGAAGAAGAGAAGGGGCUACGGCUGCGGCGAUGGCAGCUGCAGUUGGAAGAGAAGAAGGAGAGGAAGAUGAGCAGGGGAGGAAGAAGAGGCUGCGAGUGUGGUGGCUGCGGCCGUGGCUGCGACUCCGGCUGCGGCUGCAACGUUGGCUGCGGUAGCUGCGGCAGCGGUGGUGGCUGCAGUAGCUGCUUUUGGGAAAGAGAAAGAGUAGGAACGAGAGAAGGGAAGAAGGAAGUAGUGCAGUGGAAGGGGGCUGCGGUUGUGACCGCAGUUGCGGUCGUGGCUGCGAUUGUGGCAGCGGCAGCGGCGGCGGCUGUGGCAGCUGCGUUUGGGAAAGAAAAAAAGAAGGAAUGAGAGUAAGAGAGAGCAGGUGACUGUGCCUCGAUGUUCGACACGUGAUGUAGUUGCGAAGAAAGGAAGAAAACGGGAGCACAAAACGAAACAGAGAGAGGACACGGAGAAAAAGUAGAAGGAUUUGGGCUGGCACCUUCUUUGGAUCUUCGGAUCGAAAUCUUUGAAAGGUCAGCUUGUCACUCUUCGAGAUGUUUGAUUUGGGCUGAGGCAGUGGAUAGCUAUUCAGAAUAAUGGGCAAGUCUGGUUGGUUAUUACAAUAUUGUUGUAUAAGUAUGUCUUGUAUAUAAUGAAAUGUUGUCGAUGAACCGAAAUAGAUAUACUGUGUCCAAGUGUUAGGAGAUCUCUCUUAUUUGGAAUUUCAGAAUGUUAAGUCUAAUUUAUGGUGAUAUGAACUUGUGGUGAAUAGUUGGAGUUCUGAUUAUAUAAUUUAUUUAGCUUGUGGAUUUAUAAA